Molecule: ribosomal RNA, 522 nt
Filed under: Serratia marcescens
Lineage: Bacteria; Pseudomonadati; Pseudomonadota; Gammaproteobacteria; Enterobacterales; Yersiniaceae
Description: bacterial SSU rRNA
Rfam family: Bacterial small subunit ribosomal RNA
Source: RNAcentral
AGUUUGAUCCUGGCUCAGAUUGAACGCUGGCGGCAGGCUUAACACAUGCAAGUCGAGCGGUAGCACAGGGGAGCUUGCUCCCUGGGUGACGAGCGGCGGACGGGUGAGUAAUGUCUGGGAAACUGCCUGAUGGAGGGGGAUAACUACUGGAAACGGUAGCUAAUACCGCAUAACGUCGCAAGACCAAAGAGGGGGACCUUCGGGCCUCUUGCCAUCAGAUGUGCCCAGAUGGGAUUAGCUAGUAGGUGGGGUAAUGGCUCACCUAGGCGACGAUCCCUAGCUGGUCUGAGAGGAUGACCAGCCACACUGGAACUGAGACACGGUCCAGACUCCUACGGGAGGCAGCAGUGGGGAAUAUUGCACAAUGGGCGCAAGCCUGAUGCAGCCAUGCCGCGUGUGUGAAGAAGGCCUUCGGGUUGUAAAGCACUUUCAGCGAGGAGGAAGGUGGUGAGCUUAAUACGCUCAUCAAUUGACGUUACUCGCAGAAGAAGCACCGGCUAACUCCGUGCCAGCAGCCGCGGU